Molecule: ribosomal RNA, 492 nt
Filed under: uncultured bacterium
Lineage: Bacteria
Description: partial 16S ribosomal RNA
Rfam family: Bacterial small subunit ribosomal RNA
Source: RNAcentral
AGUGAACGCUGGCGGUAGGCCUAACACAUGCAAGUCGAACGGCAGCACAGUAAGAGCUUGCUCUUACGGGUGGCGAGUGGCGGACGGGUGAGGAAUACAUCGGAAUCUACUUUUUCGUGGGGGAUAACGUAGGGAAACUUACGCUAAUACCGCAUACGACCUACGGGUGAAAGCAGGGGAUCUUCGGACCUUGCGCGAUUGAAUGAGCCGAUGUCGGAUUAGCUAGUUGGCGGGGUAAAGGCCCACCAAGGCGACGAUCCGUAGCUGGUCUGAGAGGAUGAUCAGCCACACUGGAACUGAGACACGGUCCAGACUCCUACGGGAGGCAGCAGUGGGGAAUAUUGGACAAUGGGCGCAAGCCUGAUCCAGCCAUCCCGCGUGGGUGAAGAAGGCCUUCGGGUUGUAAAGCCCUCUUGUUGGGAAAGAAAAGCAGCAGGUUAAUACCCCGCUGUUCUGACGGUACCCAAAGAAUAAGCACCGGCUAACUUCGUG